Molecule: long non-coding RNA, 983 nt
Organism: Teleopsis dalmanni
Lineage: Eukaryota; Metazoa; Arthropoda; Insecta; Diptera; Diopsidae
Exons: 3
Source: RefSeq, a predicted model, not a curated record
UUUAUUAAUAAUCACAUUCAUAAUCACAAUAUUUUUUCGUCUACUCUCGUUAUAGUAAACAUAUUCCGCACAUAAUUGCAACGCAUCCACCCUCAUCAAGGUUUUGCGAGCAACUGAGCACAGUUUUUAAAAUCGCUUAACGUCAAAACCUAAUUGAAUUUGAUUUUUCUAUAAGUUCGCCACAUAUGUUUAUUUCGUUCCUAUCAAAUACACAGGUUUGGUUGUUUGUGCAUUUCGCUUUGACUUAACUUCUUACGUUAACUACCGUCUAACUCCACCUUAACUCAGCCUUUACGCACAUCAUUAGCUUAGCCAGUGCAGAUGCUGGGUUAAUAUUUGAUUCUAUAUCAUGUUGUUCCUUCAACAACAAUAAUAUUUUAGUUGGAACUGUUACGUUAUGCAAUAAGAAAAUUAACCUAUUUCGGGGUUGCAACAGAUGUGUGAGUGUAAUUUUGUUGCUAGUGUAAUGCUAAAAUAUUUAUAAUACUUAGUUUUCCAUAUUUUUCGUUUUGUUGAAAUACCAAAUACAUAUAAUUUUAAUAUUAAAAGAAUUAAUCGUAAAAAUUGUCGCAUAUGUUAUUCGUUUGAACGUCAUGUAUUCUGUGGCUAAAAAUCCAAGCAAAAUUGUUGCAAAAACAAGAGCAUAUAAGAAAUGUUGGAGAAUUAAUGCAGAUUUAAGUUUUAAAGCUUAAACUAAGUUUGGAGAUAUAUACUAUCAGGAACAAAAAUUUAACUACACCCUCAUAAAAUUUGAGUUCUCAAGAAAGCCUAAUCUCAAAUAACGGCAUUAGAAACUGAAAAUGUAGUCCUUUCCAUGCCACGUCGUCUGCAAGCAGUCAUAGUAACUCAUAGCCGUCCAACAAAAUAUUUAAGUAUUAUAUUUUGUUGAAAAGUUUGUCAAUUUCUUUGGAUUACAUACAAUUUUGAUGUGUAUUUAAACUUUUGUCCUCAUCAUUUUUUCGUUUUUAUUAAAUUAACCGUUA